AUUGAACGCUGGCGGCGUGCCUAACACAUGCAAGUCGAGCGGUAACAGGUGUAGCAAUACAUGCUGACGAGCGGCGGACGGGUGAGUAACGCUUGGGAAUCUGCCUGUUAGUGGGGGACAACCCGGGAAACGUCGGGCUAAUACCGCAUACGCACUACGGUGGAAAGCCGGGACCGCAAGGCCUGGCGCUAACAGAUGAGCCCAAGUCGGAUUAGCUAGUUGGUAGGGAACGGCCUACCAAGGCGACGAUCCGUAACUGGUCUGAGAGGACGACCAGUCACACCGGAACUGAGACACGGUCCGGACUCCUACGGGAGGCAGCAGUGGGGAAUAUUGGACAAUGGGCGAAAGCCUGAUCCAGCGACGCCGCGUGGGUGAAGAAGGCCUGCGGGUUGUAAAGCCCUUUCGGUGGGGAAGAAAAGCCUCGAGUUAAUACCUCGGGUCUUGACGUAACCCAUAGAAGAAGCACCGGCUAACUCUGUGCCAGCCGCCGCGGUAAC
RNAcentral lists this ribosomal RNA (500 nucleotides) under uncultured bacterium. RNAcentral's name for it is "bacterial SSU rRNA". It matches the Rfam family "Bacterial small subunit ribosomal RNA", at positions 29 to 524 of the family's 1533-position model. The record is from RNAcentral.